RNAcentral lists this long non-coding RNA (531 nucleotides) under Physcomitrium patens. RNAcentral describes it as "long non-coding RNA (PPAT_LNC002911)". Lineage: Eukaryota; Viridiplantae; Streptophyta; Bryopsida; Funariales; Funariaceae. The record is from RNAcentral.
UUUGAAAUAACUUCCUGGUCGGAAGUCACUAGACUCCUCAACACCCACCGCAAUCUCUCCAACUGGAAGAAACAAUAUUUUUUUGAGGAUCUUCUCAUGAAUACCGAUAAUCCGUCCUUGUACUAUGCUUGAUCCAUCCUGUGGGUCAUAGUUCGUGACGUAUUCUUCUACUAAUGCUACAUUAAUUAAAAGCAAAUUAUUUGACCUUCGCAAAAACUGAAAUAUUUGUGCGUUUCAAAAAUCUUGUAUUCUCCUUGGCGUCCAACAAAUCUCCAGCUUCAUAGGCUCUAUAUUGGUAACGAUUACUACGGAUGGUGGUCCUAAAUUGCAUUUAGCUUUCACAUUUUGGCCACUUUUCUCUCUGUCCGUAGCUCUCUUUACACUUUCAAUUGCCAUGACGCACAUUCUUUCAAGCUCUAACUGUCAAUACUAUGCUCCAGUACUCCAAAACACCCAAAAUUGUAACACUGAAAAGAAACAAUAACAGAAUGCGACACCUGAUAAUGACCGUAAAUGAAUGCCCUACUCCUA